GAGAAUUUUGGAUUAGCUGCAAGGCUUUUCCUUAACACUUUAUUCCAUAAACACCUGUGCACCUUUUUCAGAUGUUGUUUGUUACUAGUCCAGCUUUGGUUAGACGAACACAACUUCAUCUCACACUACAAACAUAAAUAGUCUUUGAAUGUAAUAUAAAUUGUAACAAAAUA
RNAcentral lists this unclassified non-coding RNA (173 nucleotides) under uncultured Derxomyces. RNAcentral describes it as "sequence contains ITS1". Lineage: Eukaryota; Fungi; Basidiomycota; Tremellomycetes; Tremellales. The record is from RNAcentral.